UGUUUCGGCUAGGGGGCCAUCCCGGCUUACCAACCCGAUGCAAACUGCGAAUACCGGAGAAUGUUAUCACGGGAGACACACGGCGGGUGCUAACGUCCGUCGUGAAGAGGGAAACAACCCAGACCGCCAGCUAAGGUCCCAAAGUCAUGGUUAAGUGGGAAACGAUGUGGGAAGGCCCAGACAGCCAGGAUGUUGGCUUAGAAGCAGCCAUCAUUUAAAGAAAGCGUAAUAGCUCACUGGUCGAGUCGGCCUGCGCGGAAGAUGUAACGGGGCUAAACCAUGCACCGAAGCUGCGGCAGCGACGCUUAUGCGUUCGUUGGGUAGGGGAGCGUUCUGUAAGCCUGUGAAGGUGGCCUGUGAGGGUUGCUGGAGGUAUCAGAAGUGCGAAUGCUGACAUAAGUAACGAUAAAGCGGGUGAAAAGCCCGCUCGCCGGAAGACCAAGGGUUCCUGUCCAACGUUAAUCGGGGCAGGGUGAGUCGACCCCUAAGGCGAGGCCGAAAGGCGUAGUCGAUGGGAAACGGGUUAAUAUUCCCGUACUUGGUGUUACUGCGAAGGGGGGACGGAGAAGGCUAUGUUGGCCGGGCGACGGUUGUCCCGGUUUAAGCGUGUAGGUGUGUGUUCCAGGUAAAUCCGGUUCACUUUAACACUGAGGCGUGACGACGAGGCACUACGGUGCUGAAGCAACAAAUGCCC
This 694-nucleotide ribosomal RNA is filed under the name Salmonella enterica subsp. enterica serovar Kedougou. Its description in RNAcentral is "partial 23S ribosomal RNA". It matches the Rfam family "Bacterial large subunit ribosomal RNA", at positions 911 to 1602 of the family's 2925-position model. Lineage: Bacteria; Pseudomonadati; Pseudomonadota; Gammaproteobacteria; Enterobacterales; Enterobacteriaceae. The record is from RNAcentral.